Non-coding RNA from Hydra vulgaris (swiftwater hydra), 252 nucleotides. The record is from RefSeq and is a predicted model, not a curated record. NCBI's taxonomy places the organism in Eukaryota, Metazoa, Cnidaria, Hydrozoa, Anthoathecata, Hydridae.
AUUUUUUGAUUAUAUAUAGCCCGAACACCAUCAUUGUCAAUGGCAGCGGUUGCCACAACUCUUGCAACAAUAACAACAACAACAACAUCUGCUACAAGUGCAGCUGCUGCUGAUUUGUCAUGUGAGGCUUUUAUAGCCAACAGGAGGAUUCACCCUGGAACCAUAUCCUACGGGGCCCAUAGGAUAUGGGUCUCAAAUGAUGGGGCAGAUCUCCCCUCUUUUUGUUAGGGGAGAAGAAGAAGAUAUGGGAGA